AAGAGUUAGGGUCCUAGUGGCCCAACCUCCAACCCUCUGUUGUUAUAACUAUCUUGUUGCUUUGGCGGGACCGUUCGGUCUCCGAGCGCGUCAACCCCCGGGUCGGCGAGCGCCCGCCAGAGUCCAACCAAACUCUUGUAUUAAACCAGUCGUCUGAGUACAAAAUUUUAAUUAAAUUA
Molecule: unclassified non-coding RNA, 179 nt
Filed under: uncultured fungus
Lineage: Eukaryota; Fungi
Description: sequence contains ITS1, 5.8S rRNA gene
Source: RNAcentral